Molecule: ribosomal RNA, 792 nt
Filed under: Triticum aestivum (bread wheat)
Lineage: Eukaryota; Viridiplantae; Streptophyta; Magnoliopsida; Poales; Poaceae
Description: partial small subunit ribosomal RNA
Source: RNAcentral
AUGGCCCCCUCACAGGAAGUCGCGGCCCCCGCCGCCACCGCCACCAAGGAGCCAUCCGCCAACGGCAACGGGACCAACGGCACGCCCGCAGCCGCCCCCAAGACCAAGGCCCCGGCGCUGAACGAGCGGAUCCUCUCCUCCAUCACCCGCCGCUCCGUCGCCGCCCACCCGUGGCACGACCUGGAGAUCGGCCCGGACGCUCCCACAAUCUUCAACUGCGUAAGCACGCAACCUUCUUCUUCCUCCUCCCGCCACCACCAAUUCCGGCCGCCACGCAAACUAAAUCAUCUCCGCAACUCCGUGCAGGUGAUCGAGAUCCCCAAGGGGAGCAAGGUCAAGUACGAGCUGGACAAGAAGACGGGGCUCAUCAAGGUGGACCGCGUGCUCUACUCCUCCGUCGUCUACCCGCACAACUACGGCUUCAUCCCGCGCACCCUCUGCGACGACUCCGACCCCAUCGACGUCCUCGUCAUCAUGCAGGAGCCCGUCGUCCCCGGAUGCUUCCUCCGCGCCAAGGCCAUCGGACUCAUGCCCAUGAUCGACCAGGGCGAGGCCGACGACAAGAUCAUCGCCGUCUGCGCCGACGAUCCCGAGUACCGCCACUUCAACGACAUCAAGGAGCUGCCCCCGCACCGCCUCGCCGAGAUCAGGCGAUUCUUCGAGGACUACAAGAAGAACGAGAACAAGGAGGUGGCCGUCAACGACUUCCUGCCGUCGGAGGACGCCUACGAGGCCAUCCAGCACUCCAUGGAUCUCUAUGCCACCUACAUUUGCGAGGGCCUGAGAAGAUAG